This 91-nucleotide transfer RNA is filed under the name Porolithon onkodes. RNAcentral describes it as "tRNA-Ser". It matches the Rfam family "tRNA". Rfam says of the family: Transfer RNA (tRNA) molecules are approximately 80 nucleotides in length. Their secondary structure includes four short double-helical elements and three loops (D, anti-codon, and T loops). Lineage: Eukaryota; Rhodophyta; Florideophyceae; Corallinales; Porolithaceae. The record is from RNAcentral.
GGAGAGAUGGCUGAGCGGUUUAAGGCGACAGUUUGCUAAAUUGUUAUAUUAUUAUUAUUUAAUAUCGUAGGUUCGAAUCCUAUUCUCUUCU